This 260-nucleotide small RNA is filed under the name Vigna angularis var. angularis. RNAcentral's name for it is "Non-protein coding transcript". Lineage: Eukaryota; Viridiplantae; Streptophyta; Magnoliopsida; Fabales; Fabaceae. The record is from RNAcentral.
GUCAACUUCUCACUCUGCAGUAUUAUUGGAUUAGAGGACAUUGCUCUAUGCUCUGCUAAGCCUAUGUUUCUCUUUGUUUUUUUGUGUUGGACAUACAAUGCGUCCCUCGUUUCGGCCAUUAUAAAAGAAGUGAAGCGGAGGUUGCACGUUGCAACCCCCACUCCUUCAUCUGUUCAACAAACAAUCAAGGGGGAGUGAAUAUGUCUUGUUUAUUUCAUGUUUCUUCUUCGAGAGAAGCCAGUACCCGAUUAAGGUACCAA